GAUGAACGCUGGCGGCGUGCCUAAUACAUGCAAGUCGAGCGAACGGACGAGAAGCUUGCUUCUCUGAUGUUAGCGGCGGGCGGGUGAGUAACACGUGGAUAACCUACCUAUAAGACUGGGAUAACUUCGGGAAACCGGAGCUAAUACCGGAUAAUAUUUUGAACCGCAUGGUGCAAAAGUGAAAGACGGUCUUGCUGUCACUUAUAGAUGGAUCCGCGCUGCAUUAGCUAGUUGGUAAGGUAACGGCUUACCAAGGCAACGAUGCAUAGCCGACCUGAGAGGGUGAUCGGCCACACUGGAACUGAGACACGGUCCAGACUCCUACGGGAGGCAGCAGUAGGGAAUCUUCCGCAAUGGGCGAAAGCCUGACGGAGCAACGCCGCGUGAGUGAUGAAGGUCUUCGGAUCGUAAAACUCUGUUAUUAGGGAAGAACAUAUGUGUAAGUAACUGUGCACAUCUUGACGGUACCUAAUCAGAAAGCCACGGCUAACUACGUG
RNAcentral lists this ribosomal RNA (497 nucleotides) under uncultured bacterium. Its description in RNAcentral is "partial 16S ribosomal RNA". It matches the Rfam family "Bacterial small subunit ribosomal RNA", at positions 28 to 507 of the family's 1533-position model. The record is from RNAcentral.